This 497-nucleotide ribosomal RNA is filed under the name uncultured bacterium. RNAcentral describes it as "partial 16S ribosomal RNA". It matches the Rfam family "Bacterial small subunit ribosomal RNA", at positions 28 to 507 of the family's 1533-position model. The record is from RNAcentral.
GAUGAACGCUGGCGGCGUGCCUAAUACAUGCAAGUCGAGCGAACAGACGAGGAGCUUGCUCCUCUGACGUUAGCGGCGGACGGGUGAGUAACACGUGGAUAACCUACCUAUAAGACUGGGAUAACUACGGGAAACCGGAGCUAACACCGGAUAAUAUAUUGAACCGCAUGGUUCAAUAGUGAAAGACGGUUUUGCUGUCACUUAUAGAUGGAUCCGCGCCGCAUUAGCUAGUUGGUAAGGUAACGGCUUACCAAGGCAACGAUGCGUAGCCGACCUGAGAGGGGGAUCGGCCACCCGAGAGCGGGAACGCGCUCCAGACGCCUACGGUAGGCAGCAGUAGGGAAACGUACGCAAAGGGCGGGAACCUGGCGGAGCAACGCCACGUGAGUGAUAGAGGGCUUGGGUUCGUGAUACUCUGUUAUUAGUGAAGAACAAAUGUGUAAGGAACUAUGGACGUCGUGACGGUACCUAAUCAGAAAGCCACGGCUAACUACGUG